GGCAAGCUAAUGAGCUAGAAUUACAUAUUGCGGCUUACCUUUGAAAAAGUCGUUUAUUUGUGUGACAUGCUGCUGUUGUUCCAAAGAAUCAUCCACAGUUCAUCGAAGUUUUCAGAGCUUUAAUAACAGAAAAAUCGCUUCCACAGUCGCCAAUGGUGUACACGCCCAUUUCAGAUAGAAUAUGUGUGCACUUUGUGACGUGUAUCAUUGCAAAACAAUAGUGUUGUGUCAUUUACGAACGAUUCGUUCAAAAGAACCGAAUCCUUUAAGUGAACGUACUGAACCAAAUCACUUCCUCAAGUGAUUCAUUUGUUU
Molecule: non-coding RNA, 315 nt
Organism: Xyrichtys novacula (pearly razorfish)
Lineage: Eukaryota; Metazoa; Chordata; Actinopteri; Labriformes; Labridae
Source: the annotation of a GenBank genome assembly